CGUAGGGUGCAGGCGUUAAUCGGAAUUACUGGGCGUAAAGCGUGCGCAGGCGGCUCCUUAAGUCAGAUGUGAAAUCCCCGGGCUUAACCUGGGAACUGCGUUUGAUACUGAGGGGCUAGAGUGUGGAAGAGGGGGGUGGAAUUCCAGGUGUAGCAGUGAAAUGCGUAGAUAUCUGGAGGAACACCAAUGGCGAAGGCAGCCCCCUGGGCUAACACUGACGCUCAUGCACGAAAGCGUGGGGAGCAAACAGGAUUAGAUACCCUGGUAGUCCACGCCCUAAACGAUGUCAACUGGUUGUCGGGGAAGUAAUUCCUUGGUAACGAAGCUAACGCGUGAAGUUGACCGCCUGGGGAGUACGGCCGCAAGGCUA
This 370-nucleotide ribosomal RNA is filed under the name uncultured organism. Its description in RNAcentral is "bacterial SSU rRNA". It matches the Rfam family "Bacterial small subunit ribosomal RNA", at positions 526 to 896 of the family's 1533-position model. The record is from RNAcentral.